Molecule: small nucleolar RNA, 144 nt
Filed under: Mus musculus (house mouse)
Lineage: Eukaryota; Metazoa; Chordata; Mammalia; Rodentia; Muridae
Also listed under: 1 other name
Description: Small nucleolar RNA SNORA48
Rfam family: Small nucleolar RNA SNORA48
About the family: The snoRNA ACA 48 has been identified to guide pseudouridylation of the residue U3797 in the 28S rRNA subunit. Its host gene EIF4A1 (eukaryotic translation initiation factor 4A1) is shared with U67 and snoRNA mgU6-77
Source: Rfam by way of RNAcentral
AGCCCCAAGCAAUGGGCAAACAAACGCCUUGUUGGUGAUGGUGCUCUUACAUCAGUCAGGGGCAGAGCAGAUGGCAAUCCUUUGUUUAUCCUAGCUUGAUGUCUGGCUUGGUGGCCAAAGCUGUCUUAUGCCUAGGACCAUAAA